CGCUCCAUGGCCGGCUCCUCUGUGCCUCUUCUCUCUGUGUCUCUCUUCUGUCUCUUAGAAGGACAUUGGUGAAUGCAUUUAGACCCCCAGGCCCCACCCCCCGAUAACCCAGGAAAAGCACCUCUUAAGAUCCCUAUGUUUAUCACAGCUUUUGCCUCAGAGGUGACAUUCGAAGCGCUGGGGUUUUGCACAGAUUUUGGGGGAGGUCUUAAUCAGCUCAGGUGGCCAUAGCAGAAAACCACACACGGGCAACCCGAGCAGCAGACAUAGGUUUGUUGAGCAGCAGACACAGGAAGCUCCCACCACUCUGGGGUGGAAGCCGGAGAUCCUGGCACCAGCUGACUGGCCUCCUAGUGAGGGCCCUUCCUGGUUUCCCGGUGCGACAGAGAAAGGGGAGGGCAGCCCUCUCCUAUGAGGGCACUGAUCCCACUGGGAGGACCCCACUCCACACACCGCAGCACUGGGGUUGGGGUUCCACCCGUGACUCCUGCAGGAGCACAAACGUGCAGCCAAUAGACCACAUGCCUCUGGGCAGCAAAGGUCCCCUGUCACCUGCACUGCAUUCUCCCGGUGCUGCCUCUGAGGACAAGGCUGGCUCCAGCGGGCUCAGUGCUGACUACCAGGAUGCAGGAGGCCUGCCCGCUCGCCAUAGCUGCGAAGCCGGCUGAUUACAUUUCAGGCUUUUGUUUAUUCCCCAUCCCAACCCGCUCCUUCAUCCACACAGACUGCUCGGACCUGGACUCAGGCCAGGCUGGACACCAGGCAGACGGAGGGACGUCCCCAGCAGCCAGCUCCCUCUGUCCGAGCAGACGGAGGGACGUCCCCAGCAGCCAGCUCCCUGUGUCCAAACAGACGGAGGGACGUCCCUAGCAGCCAGCUCCCUCUGUCUGAGCAGAUGGAGGGACGUCCCCAGCAGCCGGCUCCCUCUGUCCUAGCCCUGGGAAGGUGGGGUCCUCCAGAGCUCCCCUCCGCAGCCCCAGCCACUCCCAUGCUCCAGCUCCUGCCCCCUCCCGGGGCUCUAUCUCCCCACAGAGAAAGGGGGUCCCUCCGCUGGGCAGGCACAGCCUCCUUCCAGGCCUUGUUACGGGCACCUGCACACGUGCCUGUGCCACCUAAGCUGUGCCCGCGCCACCUAAGCUCUGCCCGCCACCUCGGCAGAUGCCAGGGUCCACAGGAAGGCAUUGGGUGCAACAGUCACUCAGCUGUUGUGUUUUCUUUCUCUUAGCCACAGUCUAGUCCUAGCAGCAGUGACCUUGGUUUGGAGCCCGGGUUGGGGACCCCAGUGAUGCCAAUUUUCUUUGCCCUCAUCAUCCCAAGGCGGCUGCUGCAGUUUCAGACAUCACAACUUUGUUCAGCGCAAAGGAGAAGGGGGACAGGGGAUGAGAAAACUGGAGUUCGGAGAUGGGCUUGCUCACGGCCUCACAGCCAGGGAGCCUGCUCACCCCAGUGUGUGCCCAGCCAGAAACCUGCGUCUGGGCCCCCAGAGGCUGGGCUCCUCACAGUGGGGACCCACCAUGUCCACUGCCUGCAGGAACCGACAGAGAGGCUGUGAUGCUGAGCCCCGGCCUCAUGCAACAAAGCUUUGCCCGACGGAAUGCACCCAGCGGCAGUGGAGAGCAGUGCUGGAUCCUGCGGGGUUGAGGCGGUGGAGCUUGAUGGCGGAAAGAGAGGCAGAGGUGGUGUACUAGGCUGUUCUUGCAUUGCUAUAAAGAAAACCUGAGACUGGGUAAUUUAUAAAGAAAAGAGGGUUAAUUGGCUCAUGGUUUUGUAG
This 1771-nucleotide long non-coding RNA is filed under the name Homo sapiens (human). RNAcentral's name for it is "HSALNT0083027". The record is from RNAcentral. Lineage: Eukaryota; Metazoa; Chordata; Mammalia; Primates; Hominidae.